This 774-nucleotide ribosomal RNA is filed under the name Arthrobacter sp. RKEM 1571. RNAcentral describes it as "bacterial SSU rRNA". It matches the Rfam family "Bacterial small subunit ribosomal RNA", at positions 87 to 873 of the family's 1533-position model. The record is from RNAcentral. Lineage: Bacteria; Bacillati; Actinomycetota; Actinomycetes; Micrococcales; Micrococcaceae.
GGGGAUUAGUGGCGAACGGGUGAGUAACACGUGAGUAACCUGCCCUUGACUCUGGGAUACGCCUGGGAAACUGGGUCUAAUACCGGAUAUGACCUUCCAUCGCAUGGUGGUUGGUGGAAAGCUUUUGUGGUUUUGGAUGGACUCGCGGCCUAUCAGCUUGUUGGUGAGGUAAUGGCUUACCAAGGCGACGACGGGUAGCCGGCCUGAGAGGGUGACCGGCCACACUGGGACUGAGACACGGCCCAGACUCCUACGGGAGGCAGCAGUGGGGAAUAUUGCACAAUGGGCGCAAGCCUGAUGCAGCGACGCCGCGUGAGGGAUGACGGCCUUCGGGUUGUAAACCUCUUUCAGUAGGGAAGAAGCGAAAGUGACGGUACCUGCAGAAGAAGCGCCGGCUAACUACGUGCCAGCAGCCGCGGUAAUACGUAGGGCGCAAGCGUUAUCCGGAAUUAUUGGGCGUAAAGAGCUCGUAGGCGGUUUGUCGCGUCUGCCGUGAAAGUCCGGGGCUCAACUCCGGAUCUGCGGUGGGUACGGGCAGACUAGAGUGAUGUAGGGGAGACUGGAAUUCCUGGUGUAGCGGUGAAAUGCGCAGAUAUCAGGAGGAACACCGAUGGCGAAGGCAGGUCUCUGGGCAUUAACUGACGCUGAGGAGCGAAAGCAUGGGGAGCGAACAGGAUUAGAUACCCUGGUAGUCCAUGCCGUAAACGUUGGGCACUAGGUGUGGGGGACAUUCCACGUUUUCCGCGCCGUAGCUAACGCAUUAAGUGCCCCGCC